AUACGUAGGUGGCAAGCGUUGUCCGGAAUUAUUGGGCGUAAAGCGCAUGUAGGCGGUUUGGUAAGUCGGUCGUGAAAAUGCGGUGCUUAACGCCGUAUGGCGAUUGAAACUGCUGAACUUGAGUGCAGGAGAGGAAAGGGGAACUCCCAGUGUAGCGGUGAAAUGCGUAGAUAUUGGGAAGAACACCGGUGGCGAAGGCGCUUUUCUGGACUGGGAUGGAGGCUCAGAUGCGAAAGCCAGGGUAGCGAACGGGAUUAGAUACCCCGGUAGUCCGGGCCGUAAACGAUGGGUAAUAGGUGUGGGAGGUAUCGACUCCUUCCGUGCCGGAGUUAACGCAAUAAGUACCCCGCCUGGGGAGUACGGCCGCAAGGCUUAAACUCAAAGGAAUUGACGGGG
This 396-nucleotide ribosomal RNA is filed under the name uncultured bacterium. RNAcentral describes it as "partial 16S ribosomal RNA". It matches the Rfam family "Bacterial small subunit ribosomal RNA", at positions 523 to 918 of the family's 1533-position model. The record is from RNAcentral.